GCAUCGAUGGUUCAGUGGUAGAAUGCUCGCCUGCCAAACUGUUAGCAGUUCGCGGGCGGCCCGGGUUCGAUUCCCGGUCGAUGCA
Molecule: transfer RNA, 85 nt
Filed under: Daphnia pulex (common water flea)
Lineage: Eukaryota; Metazoa; Arthropoda; Branchiopoda; Diplostraca; Daphniidae
Rfam family: tRNA
About the family: Transfer RNA (tRNA) molecules are approximately 80 nucleotides in length. Their secondary structure includes four short double-helical elements and three loops (D, anti-codon, and T loops). Further hydrogen bonds mediate the characteristic L-shaped molecular structure. tRNAs have two regions of fundamental functional importance: the anti-codon, which is responsible for specific mRNA codon recognition, and the 3' end, to which the tRNAs corresponding amino acid is attached (by aminoacyl-tRNA synthetases). tRNAs cope with the degeneracy of the genetic code in two manners: having more than one tRNA (with a specific anti-codon) for a particular amino acid; and 'wobble' base-pairing, i.e. permitting non-standard base-pairing at the 3rd anti-codon position.
Source: Rfam by way of RNAcentral